ACGGGUGAGUAACACGUAUCCAACCUGCCGUCUACUCUUGGCCAGCCUUCUGAAAGGAAGAUUAAUCCAGGAUGGCAUCAUGAGUUCACAUGUCCGCAUGAUUAAAGGUAUUUUCCGGUAGACGAUGGGGAUGCGUUCCAUUAGAUAGUAGGCGGGGUAACGGCCCACCUAGUCAACGAUGGAUAGGGGUUCUGAGAAGAAGGUCCCCCACAUUGGAACUGAGACACGGUCCAA
RNAcentral lists this ribosomal RNA (234 nucleotides) under uncultured bacterium. RNAcentral describes it as "partial 16S ribosomal RNA". It matches the Rfam family "Bacterial small subunit ribosomal RNA", at positions 102 to 334 of the family's 1533-position model. The record is from RNAcentral.